AGUCAGUUUUUUUUCGUGGACCUACACUGAUGGGAACAGUCAUGCUAUAGCCAUGAGCAAUUUAAUGCUGAUAAUUAGAUAAAGAGUGGAUUAAACAUUAUUUCGUUUCGCGUUAUUGGUUCUGAAAGGUAUCCGCACCUAGGAGAAGGUGUUUUGGGUUGUCGGACAUCGUGUUUUUUUGAGGGAAAACUCCGGUUAUUUUUUUUUUUCCUGUGUAUGAAUCGAUGCUGAUGGCGAGCUAGAGCCCAGACCCGAGGAACGUGGAGCAGAGCACCGGCUUACAUGCGUGGGAGAGGUGUGACGUCAGAAGCAGCUUCUUCAAGCAUCCGGAGAAAGCACAUCUAUUAUAUCAUACAGAGUCAAUGAGGCUGUGCAUUGGAGGCUGGCACAGCUGGUGGGAGCAGGAGACUAACAUCUGGAACCUCGCACUCUUGGUGCCAUUGUUAAUAAGAGGCUGGUGGGGAAUGGAGGAGAGUGGAGGAGACAACUCUCCAGUGUCAAUGGACCUCCCUGUCUUUCACUUCAACUUUACUACUGCAACUCCUACUGAAUGCAUUACAUGUGCAUAAAAAGUGGGGCCCCACCAUCGCAGCAGAUCUGCAACUAAGAUGUCGGAGGUAAAUCUCAAACCCAAGUCCAGAUAAAAAACUAAUGACACUAAUGGACCAUUUUGUUCCUUUUGGUUCCUUUUGGUUCCUUUUGGUUGCUUUACAUAUUCUUUACCUUUGGAAACUGUCAUAAAUAAUAAACAUAUACAUGCCC
Long non-coding RNA from Solea solea (common sole), 762 nucleotides. RefSeq lists it as uncharacterized. The record is from RefSeq and is a predicted model, not a curated record. The transcript is spliced from 3 exons. Lineage: Eukaryota; Metazoa; Chordata; Actinopteri; Pleuronectiformes; Soleidae.